AUUGAACGCUGGCGGCAGGCCUAACACAUGCAAGUCGAGCGGAUGAAGGGAGCUUGCUCCUGGAUUCAGCGGCGGACGGGUGAGUAAUGCCUAGGAAUCUGCCUGGUAGUGGGGGAUAACGUCCGGAAACGGGCGCUAAUAACGCAUACGUCCUGAGGGAGAAAGUGGGGGAUCUUCGGACCUCACGCUAUCAGAUGAGCCUAGGUCGGAUUAGCUAGUUGGUGGGGUAAAGGCCUACCAAGGCGACGAUCCGUAACUGGUCUGAGAGGAUGAUCAGUCACACUGGAACUGAGACACGGUCCAGACGCCUACGGGAGGCAGCAGUGGGGAAUAUUGGACAAAGGGCGAAAGCCUGAUCCAGCCAUGCCGCGUGUGUGAAGAAGGUCUUCGGAUUGUAAAGCACUUUAAGUUGGGAGGAAGGGCAGUAAGUUAAUACCUGGCUGUUUUGACGUUACCAACAGAAUAAGCACCGGCUAACUUCGUG
This 484-nucleotide ribosomal RNA is filed under the name uncultured bacterium. RNAcentral describes it as "partial 16S ribosomal RNA". It matches the Rfam family "Bacterial small subunit ribosomal RNA", at positions 30 to 507 of the family's 1533-position model. The record is from RNAcentral.